This 95-nucleotide signal recognition particle RNA is filed under the name Alphaproteobacteria bacterium. RNAcentral's name for it is "signal recognition particle sRNA small type". It matches the Rfam family "Bacterial small signal recognition particle RNA". From Rfam's summary of the family: The signal recognition particle (SRP) is a universally conserved ribonucleoprotein involved in the co-translational targeting of proteins to membranes. Archaeal SRP consists of a 7S RNA and homologues of the eukaryotic SRP19 and SRP54 proteins. The record is from RNAcentral. RNAcentral also lists the same sequence under 3 other names. Lineage: Bacteria; Pseudomonadati; Pseudomonadota; Alphaproteobacteria.
AGGAAGGCUGGGUGGACGGUCGCCUUGUCUAACCGGUCAGGGCCGAGAGGCAGCAGCCAGGGCUAGGUCAGGUCGGGUCGUCCAGUCUUCCGCUC